This 253-nucleotide ribosomal RNA is filed under the name uncultured bacterium. RNAcentral's name for it is "partial 16S ribosomal RNA". It matches the Rfam family "Bacterial small subunit ribosomal RNA", at positions 524 to 776 of the family's 1533-position model. The record is from RNAcentral.
UACAGAGGUCCCAAGCGUUGUUCGGAUUCAUUGGGCGUAAAGGGUGCGUAGGCGGCGCGGUAAGUCGGGUGUGAAAUCUCGGAGCUUAACUCCGAAACUGCAUUCGAUACUGCCGUGCUUGAAGACUGGAGAGGAGACUGGAAUUUACGGCGUAGCGGUGAAAUGCGUAGAUAUCGUAAGGAAGACCAGUGGCGAAGGCGGGUCUCUGGACAGUUCCUGACGCUGAGGCACGAAGGCCAGGGGAGCAAACGGG